GAUGAACGCUGGCGGCGUGCCUAAUACAUGCAAGUCGAGCGAACAGAUGAGGAGCUUGCUCCUCUGACGUUAGCGGCGGACGGGUGAGUAACACGUGGAUAACCUACCUAUAAGACUGGGAUAACUUCGGGAAACCGGAGCUAAUACCGGAUAAUAUAUUGAACCGCAUGGUUCAAUAGUGAAAGACGGUUUUGCUGUCACUUAUAGAUGGAUCCGCGCCGCAUUAGCUAGUUGGUAAGGUAACGGCUUACCAAGGCAACGAUGCGUAGCCGACCUGAGAGGGUGAUCGGCCACACUGGAGCUGAGACACGGUCCAGACUCUUACGGGAGGCAGCAGUAGGGAAUCGUCCGCGAUGGGCGAAAGCCUGACGGAGCAACGCCGCGUGGAUGAUGAAGGGCUUCGGAUCGUAUAACUCUGUUAUUAGGGAAGAACAAAUGUGUAAGUAACUAUGCACGUCUUGACGGUACCUAGUCAGAAAGCCACGGCUAACUACGUG
This 497-nucleotide ribosomal RNA is filed under the name uncultured bacterium. Its description in RNAcentral is "partial 16S ribosomal RNA". It matches the Rfam family "Bacterial small subunit ribosomal RNA", at positions 28 to 507 of the family's 1533-position model. The record is from RNAcentral.